GACGAACGCUGGCGGCGUGCUUAACACAUGCAAGUCGAACGGAAAGGCCCUGCUUUUGUGGGGUGCUCGAGUGGCGAACGGGUGAGUAACACGUGAGUAACCUGCCCUUGACUUUGGGAUAACUUCAGGAAACUGGGGCUAAUACCGGAUAGGAGCUCCUGCUGCAUGGUGGGGGUUGGAAAGUUUCGGCGGUUGGGGAUGGACUCGCGGCUUAUCAGCUUGUUGGUUGGGUAGUGGCUUACCAAGGCUUUGACGGGUAGCCGGCCUGAGAGGGUGACCGGCCACAUUGGGUCUGAGAUACGGACCAGACCCAUACGGGCGGCAGGAGUGGGGAAUAUUGAACAGUGGGCGGAAGCCUGAUGGAGCAACGCCGCGUGCGGGAUGACGGCAUUCGGGUUGUAAGCAGAUUUCGCCUGUGACGAAGCGUGAGUGACGGUAAUGGGUAAAGAAGCACGGGUUAACUACGU
This 467-nucleotide ribosomal RNA is filed under the name uncultured bacterium. RNAcentral's name for it is "partial 16S ribosomal RNA". It matches the Rfam family "Bacterial small subunit ribosomal RNA", at positions 28 to 506 of the family's 1533-position model. The record is from RNAcentral.